AAAGGUUCCUGUUUCAACAGAAUAUUCUGGCCCCCUCAGCCCCAGAGCACCAACCAGGACCCCCAACAGGACCAAGGAUCUACCCAGGGCCAGGCUCCUGAUACUGGGUAUACACAUCAGCAGCAUGGUGGCACUAACAUCUACGAUACGAUCAAUCCCUCAGACAACAAUGAUAAUGAUGCUGCUGGUGCUUCUGCUGCUGGACCAAGUCAUGUGACUUACGCCCAGAUUCAACUGAAAAAGUUGGACAAGAAAAAGAAAG
Coregonus clupeaformis (lake whitefish) is the source of this 262-nucleotide long non-coding RNA. RefSeq lists it as uncharacterized. The record is from RefSeq and is a predicted model, not a curated record. The transcript has 4 exons. Lineage: Eukaryota; Metazoa; Chordata; Actinopteri; Salmoniformes; Salmonidae.